This 1065-nucleotide long non-coding RNA is filed under the name Monodelphis domestica (gray short-tailed opossum). RNAcentral describes it as "lncRNA (ENSMODG00000041236.1)". Lineage: Eukaryota; Metazoa; Chordata; Mammalia; Didelphimorphia; Didelphidae. The record is from RNAcentral.
GAAACCAGAACACCCUGAUAAAACCUGUUUUGCAGGACAAACUGCUGGGUCCCUAAGGGGGCUACAUUGCCAACUCAGCUACUACUUCACCUCUGAACCCUCCACUUCACUGUUCUCAUGAUCUCCCACUGAUCCCCAGAGGUCUGAUAUUGGCCCCUGCUUAAUAAAUUGCCUUAUGUCCUAUGUCCAACAGCAUCUAAAGGCAGUCAAACUUUUGACCUUCCAGUUUUACUACCCUUCCAUGCCCACCAAAGAUGAGUCAAGGGUUUGACUCACACACACAAGAAAAGGAGGAAUUGAAGUGAGGUAAACUAAGUCAUUGACCAGAAAACCUGCUUUUCCCUGGGGAAAGUAGAAAUCAGAAAUGAGCUUUCCUGGGAAAGUUAGUCAGCUCAGAACCAAAACAACAUAACAGCCAGGAUCCAUGAGAAAGUAACUCCCUUACUAACAAGCAGCCAGUCUAGGAUAAGAUAUGUAAUGGAAUGUCCUGUACUCCCAUGCUACUGAUGCAUAUAGCUUCUAGAUGAUAAGGUUUGCUUGCUCCAGCAAGGCUAUGUCUCAUUAAUGAACAUUGUUUGCUUAUAUCCUGUAAAAACUGCAUUAUAAUUUCAGUCCAGUGCAUUCAUUAGGAAGGUUUACCCUGGCCAGUAAUAAAUAAAUAUUGGUUCCAUGAAUUUGAACUUCUGGGUGUCCAGACUCGCAUUAUGAAGUGCACCACUUUAAGAGCCUACAAGAAAGCCCUGGAGUAUGACCAUGAAAAGUAUUCAAGAUAUGGAAGAUACAGGAAAGAGGAAAGCCAGAUACAGUUCAAGCUAAAGAAUUCCCCCAAAAGGUAAGGAAAGUUUCUACUUUGUCAUUUAACAUUUCUCUCAUACCAUGGAGAAGGGUAACCAUUAAUUCACACAGUCCAUUCAGUAUUCAUCACCAAAUGGCAUCAAGGCGUCCUAAUUCCAUCAUUCUUUGACCUAAGAUCAUAAGUGUAUUCCUAAUCCUUAGACAAUUCUCUUCCUUUCUCUGGGCCUCAGUUUCCUUAUGUAUUAAAUGAAUAGAUGGGACAAAGAUAAU